GGCUCAGGAUGAACGCUGGCGGCGUGCCUAAUACAUGCAAGUCGAGCGAACGGACGAGAAGCUUGCUUCUCUGAUGUUAGCGGCGGACGGGUGAGUAACACGUGGAUAACCUACCUAUAAGACUGGGAUAACUUCGGGAAACCGGAGCUAAUACCGGAUAAUAUUUUGAACCGCAUGGUUCAAAAGUGAAAGACGGUCUUGCUGUCACUUAUAGAUGGAUCCGCGCUGCAUUAGCUAGUUGGUAAGGUAACGGCUUACCAAGGCAACGAUGCAUAGCCGACCUGAGAGGGUGAUCGGCCACACUGGAACUGAGACACGGUCCAGACUCCUACGGGAGGCAGCAGUAGGGAAUCUUCCGCAAUGGGCGAAAGCCUGACGGAGCAACGCCGCGUGAGUGAUGAAGGUCUUCGGAUCGUAAAACUCUGUUAUUAGGGAAGAACAUAUGUGUAAGUAACUGUGCACAUCUUGACGGUACCUAAUCAGAAAGCCACGGCUAACUACGUGCCAGCAGCCGCGGUAAUACGUAGGUGGCAAGCGUUAUCCGGAAUUAUUGGGCGUAAAGCGCGCGUAGGCGGUUUUUUAAGUCUGAUGUGAAAGCCCACGGCUCAACCGUGGAGGGUCAUUGGAAACUGGAAAACUUGAGUGCAGAAGAGGAAAGUGGAAUUCCAUGUGUAGCGGUGAAAUGCGCAGAGAUAUGGAGGAACACCAGUGGCGAAGGCGACUUUCUGGUCUGUAACUGACGCUGAUGUGCGAAAGCGUGGGGAUCAAACAGGAUUAGAUACCCUGGUAGUCCACGCCGUAAACGAUGAGUGCUAAGUGUUAGGGGGUUUCCGCCCCUUAGUGCUGCAGCUAACGCAUUAAGCACUCCGCCUGGGGAGUACGACCGCAAGGUUGAAACUCAAAGGAAUUGACGGGGACCCGCACAAGCGGUGGAGCAUGUGGUUUAAUUCGAAGCAACGCGAAGAACCUUACCAAAUCUUGACAUCCUUUGACAACUCUAGAGAUAGAGCCUUCCCCUUCGGGGGACAAAGUGACAGGUGGUGCAUGGUUGUCGUCAGCUCGUGUCGUGAGAUGUUGGGUUAAGUCCCGCAACGAGCGCAACCCUUAAGCUUAGUUGCCAUCAUUAAGUUGGGCACUCUAAGUUGACUGCCGGUGACAAACCGGAGGAAGGUGGGGAUGACGUCAAAUCAUCAUGCCCCUUAUGAUUUGGGCUACACACGUGCUACAAUGGACAAUACAAAGGGCAGCGAAACCGCGAGGUCAAGCAAAUCCCAUAAAGUUGUUCUCAGUUCGGAUUGUAGUCUGCAACUCGACUACAUGAAGCUGGAAUCGCUAGUAAUCGUAGAUCAGCAUGCUACGGUGAAUACGUUCCCGGGUCUUGUACACACCGCCCGUCACACCACGAGAGUUUGUAACACCCGAAGCCGGUGGAGUAACCUUUUAGGAGCUAGCCGUCGAAGGUGGGACAAAUGAUUGGGGUGAAGUCGUAACAAGGUAGCCGUAUCGGAAGGUGCGGCU
Molecule: ribosomal RNA, 1518 nt
Filed under: Staphylococcus aureus
Lineage: Bacteria; Bacillati; Bacillota; Bacilli; Caryophanales; Staphylococcaceae
Description: partial 16S ribosomal RNA
Rfam family: Bacterial small subunit ribosomal RNA
Source: RNAcentral